Molecule: ribosomal RNA, 779 nt
Filed under: uncultured Alteromonas sp.
Lineage: Bacteria; Pseudomonadati; Pseudomonadota; Gammaproteobacteria; Alteromonadales; Alteromonadaceae
Description: bacterial SSU rRNA
Rfam family: Bacterial small subunit ribosomal RNA
Source: RNAcentral
UAGUGAUUGGCGGACGGGUGAGUAAUGCUUGGGAACUUGCCUUUGCGAGGGGGAUAACAGUUGGAAACGACUGCUAAUACCGCAUAAUGUCUUCGGACCAAACGGGGCUUCGGCUCCGGCGCAAAGAGAGGCCCAAGUGAGAUUAGCUAGUUGGUAAGGUAACGGCUUACCAAGGCGACGAUCUCUAGCUGUUCUGAGAGGAAGAUCAGCCACACUGGGACUGAGACACGGCCCAGACUCCUACGGGAGGCAGCAGUGGGGAAUAUUGCACAAUGGGGGAAACCCUGAUGCAGCCAUGCCGCGUGUGUGAAGAAGGCCUUCGGGUUGUAAAGCACUUUCAGUUGUGAGGAAAAGUUAGUAGUUAAUACCUGCUAGCCGUGACGUUAACAACAGAAGAAGCACCGGCUAACUCCGUGCCAGCAGCCGCGGUAAUACGGAGGGUGCGAGCGUUAAUCGGAAUUACUGGGCGUAAAGCGCACGCAGGCGGUUUGUUAAGCUAGAUGUGAAAGCCCCGGGCUCAACCUGGGAUGGUCAUUUAGAACUGGCAGACUAGAGUCUUGGAGAGGGGAGUGGAAUUCCAGGUGUAGCGGUGAAAUGCGUAGAUAUCUGGAGGAACAUCAGUGGCGAAGGCGACUCCCUGGCCAAAGACUGACGCUCAUGUGCGAAAGUGUGGGUAGCGAACAGGAUUAGAUACCCUGGUAGUCCACACCGUAAACGCUGUCUACUAGCUGUGUGUGUCUUUAAGGCGUGCGUAGCGAAGCUAACGCGCUAAGUAGACC